RNAcentral lists this ribosomal RNA (484 nucleotides) under uncultured bacterium. RNAcentral describes it as "partial 16S ribosomal RNA". It matches the Rfam family "Bacterial small subunit ribosomal RNA", at positions 30 to 507 of the family's 1533-position model. The record is from RNAcentral.
AUUGAACGCUGGCGGCAUGCCUAACACAUGCGAGUCGAGCGGAUGAGCGGGGCUUGCUCCUGGAUUCAGCGGCGGACGGGUGAGUAAUGCCUAGGAAUCUGCCUGGUAGUGGGGGAUAACGUCCGGAAAGGGGGGCUAAUACCGCAUACGUCCUGAGGGUGAAAGUGGGGGAUCUUCGGACCUCACGCUAUCAGAGGAGCCGAGGUCGGAUUAGCUAGUUGGUGGGGUAAAGGCCUACCAAGGCGACGAUCCGUAACUGGUCUGAGAGGAUGACCAGUCACACUGGAACUGAGACACGGUCCAGACUCCUACGGGAGGCAGCAGUGGGGAAUAUUGGACAAUGGGCGCAAGCCUGAUCCAGCCAUGCCGCGUGCGUGAAGAAGGUCUUCGGAUUGUAAAGCACUUUAAGUUGGGAGGAAGGGCAGUAAGCUAAUACCUCGCUGUUUUGACGUUACCAAAAGAAUAAGCACCGGCUAACUUCGUG